Molecule: small RNA, 28 nt
Filed under: Bombyx mori (domestic silkworm)
Lineage: Eukaryota; Metazoa; Arthropoda; Insecta; Lepidoptera; Bombycidae
Description: ovarian small RNA-29466
Source: RNAcentral
UCUACUACAGCCUGGACGGUGCGGUUGA